GCCCCCAUCGUUUAGCGGUUAGGACACCGGCCCUUCAAGCCGGCAGCAGGGGUUCGAAUCCCCUUGGGGGCACCA
This 75-nucleotide transfer RNA is filed under the name candidate division BRC1 bacterium ADurb.Bin183. RNAcentral describes it as "tRNA-Glu". It matches the Rfam family "tRNA". Rfam says of the family: Transfer RNA (tRNA) molecules are approximately 80 nucleotides in length. Their secondary structure includes four short double-helical elements and three loops (D, anti-codon, and T loops). Lineage: Bacteria; Candidatus Sumerlaeota. The record is from RNAcentral. RNAcentral also lists the same sequence under 2 other names.